Small nuclear RNA from Cynocephalus volans (Philippine flying lemur), 107 nucleotides. Lineage: Eukaryota; Metazoa; Chordata; Mammalia; Dermoptera; Cynocephalidae. The record is from RefSeq and is a predicted model, not a curated record.
GCGCUCGCUUCGGCAGCACAUAUACUAAAACUGGAAUGAUACAGAGAAGAUUAGCAUGACCCCUGCACAAUGAUGACACACAAAUUUGUGAAGUGUUCCAAAUUUAA